GAUGAAGAACGUAGUGAAAUGCGAUACUUGGUGUGAAUUGCAGAAUCCCGUGAACCAUCGAGUCUUUGAACGCAAGUUGCGCCUCAAGCCAUUAGGUUGAGGGCACCUCUGCCUGGGCGUCACAUAUCGUUGCCUGAUGCCAGUUUCCUCGUGAUGGGUGACUGUGCAGGGCGAAUGAUGGCUUCCCGUGAGCAUUGUUGCCUCAUGGUUGGUUGAAAAUUGAGUCCUUGGUAGGGAGCGCCGUGAUAGAUGGUGGUUGAGUGACGAACGAGACCCAAUCAUGUGAGACCCCUACCGAAUUUGGCCUUCAUGACCCACAUGCGUCUUUGGAACGCUCAUGACGAGACCUCAGGUCAGGCGGGGCUACCCGCUGAGUUUAAGCAUAUCAAUAAGCGGAGGA
Molecule: unclassified non-coding RNA, 400 nt
Filed under: soil metagenome
Description: partial contains 5.8S ribosomal RNA, internal transcribed spacer 2, and large subunit ribosomal RNA
Rfam family: 5.8S ribosomal RNA (bases 1-122)
Source: RNAcentral